GGCAGAUGCAAAAAAAAUAAAUUCUCUUUUGCAACCCAGAGCUCAUUGUGUGGUAUGAGCUUUGAUACAUAUAAGAAGGAAUAUU
RNAcentral lists this small nucleolar RNA (85 nucleotides) under Aotus nancymaae (Ma's night monkey). Its description in RNAcentral is "Small nucleolar RNA SNORA40 (ENSANAG00000001209.1)". It matches the Rfam family "Small nucleolar RNA SNORA40", at positions 46 to 128 of the family's 128-position model. Rfam says of the family: The snoRNA ACA 40 belongs to the H/ACA family of snoRNAs and guides the pseudouridylation of 28S rRNA subunit at position U4565. NB This family has a high threshold value to exclude a large number of closely related sequences that do not appear to have conserved H and ACA boxes, and may be pseudogenes. The record is from RNAcentral. Lineage: Eukaryota; Metazoa; Chordata; Mammalia; Primates; Aotidae.